UAAUAGGAUCUUAGAUCUAGAGAUUCUCUAAUUUUAGAAAAUAAUUUUGAUUUAUUUUAGUCUUCCACUGUAUGAUCUUGAAAAAGUUUCAAGAUCUAACCCUGAAACCCUAGAUCUGGUUCCUACACAAGGGAUCUGAAGAAUAUUUUUUAGAUUAACAAUUUUAUUGCAGCCUCGUAUGGAUCACCUGUAGAGGCCAGACACAUGUGCGGCUCCAAAGGAAACAAAGAAAAUCAAUCAUGGAGUUCUUGACCUGCAUGAAGAUAAGAGAUCUGAUCUCUUCUUUUAUCUAGAUAUGAUCUAGGUUUUAGAUCUAAAAAUAUUUUAGAUCUAGGGUAUUGAUUUGAUCAAUACCAAAUCUUUUAUUUUUUGAUUUAUAAAUACAAUAUGACAUGUUAUAGGUCCUAAUUGUAGGGUUUAGUA
RNAcentral lists this long non-coding RNA (423 nucleotides) under Elaeis guineensis (African oil palm). RNAcentral's name for it is "long non-coding RNA (EGUI_LNC064826)". Lineage: Eukaryota; Viridiplantae; Streptophyta; Magnoliopsida; Arecales; Arecaceae. The record is from RNAcentral.